This 674-nucleotide ribosomal RNA is filed under the name Hanseniaspora meyeri. RNAcentral describes it as "LSU rRNA". It matches the Rfam family "Eukaryotic large subunit ribosomal RNA", at positions 47 to 736 of the family's 3401-position model. The record is from RNAcentral. Lineage: Eukaryota; Fungi; Ascomycota; Saccharomycetes; Saccharomycodales; Saccharomycodaceae.
UAAGCGGAGGAAAAGAAACCAACUGGGAUUACCUUAGUAACGGCGAGUGAAGCGGUAAAAGCUCAAAUUUGAAAUCUGGUACUUUCAGUGCCCGAGUUGUAAUUUGUAGAAUUUGUCUUUGAUUAGGUCCUUGUCUAUGUUCCUUGGAACAGGACGUCAUAGAGGGUGAGAAUCCCGUUUGGCGAGGAUACCUUUUCUCUGUAAGACUUUUUCGAAGAGUCGAGUUGUUUGGGAAUGCAGCUCAAAGUGGGUGGUAAAUUCCAUCUAAAGCUAAAUAUUGGCGAGAGACCGAUAGCGAACAAGUACAGUGAUGGAAAGAUGAAAAGAACUUUGAAAAGAGAGUGAAAAAGUACGUGAAAUUGUUGAAAGGGAAGGGCAUUUGAUCAGACAUGGUGUUUUUUGCAUGCACUCGCCUCUCGUGGGCUUGGGCCUCUCAAAAAUUUCACUGGGCCAACAUCAAUUCUGGCAGCAGGAUAAAUCAUUAAGAACGUAGCUACUUCGGUAGUGUUAUAGCUUUUUGGAAUACUGCUAGCUGGGAUUGAGGACUGCGCUUCGGCAAGGAUGUUGGCAUAAUGGUUAAAUGCCGCCCGUCUUGAAACACGGACCAAGGAGUCUAACGUCUAUGCGAGUGUUUGGGUGUAAAACCCGUACGCGUAAUGAAAGUGAACGUAGGU